AGAAUUCUGGUGAAAAGGUUCAAUCUGUACUGCCGUAUCACCAACAUCUGUCUUGAGGUGGUGAGCCAACAUGAUAAAAUGAGAAGCAUUACUUUCAGAGCAGCUUUCUUAGUAUCUCCAAUACUGUGUUAAAUGCAAGUUUAAACUUGCAGUACACUUACAGCAGGCUAGUUGGCAUGGGAGAAAGAAGACAGGAGCUCCUGAAAUUGCUGCGGAGACCGGCUUCAGAGCAGGUUACAUCAUCCCAAAUAACUGAAAGCACUGUAGUAAGCAUAGAGCCCUGGACAGAACUUGUGACCUUCUUUCAUGAAUCUGGAAAACAAGCGGAUGCUAUUGCUGCUUUAUUUGUUGGUUUAUGA
Molecule: long non-coding RNA, 359 nt
Filed under: Phasianus colchicus (ring-necked pheasant)
Lineage: Eukaryota; Metazoa; Chordata; Aves; Galliformes; Phasianidae
Description: lncRNA (ENSPCLG00000002453.1)
Source: RNAcentral